GGUCUCCAGGAAGCCACGGAGAGCUUGGCAGCAGAGAAAAUAGUAAUUGAGCAUCAGACAUCACCACUCCUGAAAACACCUUCUACAAGAAUUGAAAAGUGUUGCAGGACCUAAUACUGAAAUAGGAAAUACGGACUAUCUUCAAAUUGCACAAAGGAUGCAUGAAUCCACAAUCUGAGACCCACAGCUCUGAGAUCCCUAACGUGAAUGAUUAAAGAUAUUUUACAAAUUGGGGAGCUCUUUCAAGGGCUUUCCACUUUCAACCUUCUUUCUUUGAAGACCCCAGUUCAUAUUGAGAUUUCUUUAGGGCAUCCUCUGCUCUCAAAUCCCCAGUGAUUCUUCAAACCCAAGAAGCCACAGCAGAUCUUUCUUUUCCCCUAUGGUCUGAGCACAGCUUUGGAAUUCCAUCAAGAGGCUUAAAAUUUAGUGAUUCGGUAGUUUUCUUUGCGGGUUGGGUUCUGUGGAAAACAUUCACAUUCAACCCAGAUAUUUUUCCUGACUCACCUGUGACGAAAAUGUCACUGAAUACAAAACAGAACAGAACUGUAUUUGGCUAGUUAAAUCAACCGCCAUGCUUAUAGUCUUGUAAUGUAGCUUAGUAAUUUUUUUGGUUUGUUUCUUUUUCUUUCCUUUCUUUCUCCCC
Mandrillus leucophaeus (drill) is the source of this 643-nucleotide long non-coding RNA. RefSeq lists it as uncharacterized. The transcript has 3 exons. The record is from RefSeq and is a predicted model, not a curated record. NCBI's taxonomy places the organism in Eukaryota, Metazoa, Chordata, Mammalia, Primates, Cercopithecidae.